This 71-nucleotide transfer RNA is filed under the name Nanobdellota archaeon. RNAcentral's name for it is "Nanoarchaeota archaeon tRNA-Gly". It matches the Rfam family "tRNA". Rfam says of the family: Transfer RNA (tRNA) molecules are approximately 80 nucleotides in length. Their secondary structure includes four short double-helical elements and three loops (D, anti-codon, and T loops). Lineage: Archaea; Nanobdellati; Nanobdellota. The record is from RNAcentral. RNAcentral also lists the same sequence under 1 other name.
GCGCCAGUAGUCUAGCGGUAGGAUACUGGCCUUCCAAGCCAGUGACCCGGGUUCAAAUCCCGGCUGGCGCA